AACUGUCGAAGAGAAGGGUCGGUGGAGAGUCACCCCCGAGCCUGGUGGGCAGUUGAGUUCCAGCCAGAGCAGAGCUCACCCAGGUGGGGGGGCUCCGGGGGCAGGGCUAGAGAGGGGAGACGCCCUCCCCCCACACACUGUCAUCAGGGUAAGGACAAGGCUGAAGGAAAGGCUUGAGGCUGACACCUGGGGAGGAGGGAGACGCAGGCUGGCUGACAGAGGCUGCCCAGAGUGACCUCUGGGUCUGUUAGGUACAGGACCAGGAGCUGCAGACCUUGGGAAGCACUUCCUAAGGUCAGGACCAAAAGGAUGUCAGAUCAUCUAGUUAUCAGGCUAGUUAUUUAACCCCUCUGUGCCUCGGUUUCUUCAUCUGUAAAAUGGGGAUAAUAAUAGGACCUACUUUAUAGUGUUGGGAGGUGUUAAAUGAGUGAGUGAUGCAGAGUGCUAGCUACAUGCCUGGCACUAUUACUGACAGCUACCAUCUCUAAUUCAACCCACUGAAAACCCUUUAAGAAAGGCCUCACUACUCUAAGUGUGCUCCCUGGACCAGCGGCAGGGGUGUUUCCCGGGAGCUGGUUAGAAAGGCUGAAUCUCAGGCUCCACCCCCGAACUCCUGAAUGAGGACCCACAUCUCAAUAAGACUCCCACAGUUGGGGUCCAGAGGCGUGUCAGAGUGCGAAGCAGGAAGAGGCAGAGCAACCGAGAGCAGAGUCAGGCUUCUAACCCAGCUCUGUCUAUCACAGCUGGGCAACCCUGGGCAAGUUACUUAACGUCUCUGGAUCUCAGUGCACAUAUCUGUGGAAUGGGAUAAUAGCCUUUCAACAAGCCCAGAAGCUCCUGAGGAGGGAGAGCCAAGUGCUGGUUGGACCAGUGCCAGGACAAGAAUCAGGGAUGCUGGGACUCACCACAUCCUCCACCCUCCUUGCCAAUCGCAGGACACUGAGCCUUCCUUUGGAAGAGGGAACACCCUGAGUCUCAAAUUCUAAGGGUGGCAAAGAUUGUGAGAUCCUUCCAGAUCGGAAAUAUCAUGCUGCAUAUUGGAAGGUUUCCAACACACGGCCUCUGGCUUGGAUUUAUUUUUAUUACCAUCAGAUGCUUCUAUCAGCCUGUAUACGUUCAGGUCUGACUUCUCGCCUGUAGCAGAUGCCCCUGGAGCCCGCCACCCCACCCCCGCCAUCUUCUUGGACCAUCCGUUGUAGUGGACAGCCCUGACUUCCAACCACUGAGCACUUUUUCUGCGGGCCAGAGCGUUAUUGCCCGCCCCCAGCCAGAUGAUGCCGCCACAAAGUCCAGAAAAGGCGCCGUUAAGUGUCAGCUUCAGAGGGGCAGAGGCUAUGCCCACAGCCCAGCAGACGAUCUUCUCCACAUCUGCCCGCCUCCAGGGGAAGCAAACUCGCCAAAAGCCAAUUCACCAAAUAACCCUUUCUCAAAAUGUGCCAACUCUUCCGAAGACUAUAUUGGAGAAUGUAUCUUCCCUUGCAUAUAGUUAAAGACUCUUAACAUAUUCUUUCUGUGGAUAUAUGCAAGAAUAUAUAAUACUUCGGGCUUCCCUGGUGGCGCAGUGGUUAAGAAUCCGCCUGCCAAUACAGGGGAAACGGGUUCGAGCACUGGUCCGAGAAGAUCCCACAUGCCGCAGAGCAACUAAGCCCAUGCACUGCAACGACUGAGCCUGCGCUCUAGAGCCCGCGAGCCACAUCUACUGAGCCUGUAUGCCACAACUACUGGAGUCUAUGUGCCUAGAGCCCAUGUUCUGCAACAAGAGAAGCCACUGCAGUGAGAAGCCCUCGCUCGCCGCAACUAGAGAAAGCCCGCACACAGCAACGAAGACCC
Long non-coding RNA from Balaenoptera acutorostrata (minke whale), 1830 nucleotides. RefSeq lists it as uncharacterized. Lineage: Eukaryota; Metazoa; Chordata; Mammalia; Artiodactyla; Balaenopteridae. The record is from RefSeq and is a predicted model, not a curated record. The transcript is spliced from 5 exons.